RNAcentral lists this long non-coding RNA (1416 nucleotides) under Vulpes vulpes (red fox). RNAcentral describes it as "lncRNA (ENSVVUG00000029573.1)". The record is from RNAcentral. Lineage: Eukaryota; Metazoa; Chordata; Mammalia; Carnivora; Canidae.
GCAGUCGGCCUUCCCAUGAGGAAGGCAUUGGUAGCCAGGGAGGAGAGGAGGGGAGCGGUGGGGUAGAAGGAGGUGAACGGGGUGGAAUGGGGCUGGGCUCGGAGUAGGAGUCACCGUUUCCUCAGCCAUGCUGCUGUUUCCUUCUCCUCAGAACACGCUGCGCUGAUGUAACACCCGGGUGUCCCGUGCCCUGGCUCCUGGAAGCAGGGUCAUCUUUGCUUGCUGGGAAAAAGAAUCCUUGCGAAGAGAAGUUGCUCCCUGGAGGGAGAAGAAGGCAACGAUCUCCCCCAAAACUGACCCCUGCGUCCUGGAAGGAUGGCUACAAUGGGCCAUGGGGAGGCCGCCGAGCUGUUGGGCAGAGGAGGUCUGGGGGACCACAGAAGGGAAGAUCCCUUAAAUGGAAUGGCCUUCUGUAAAGCUCUCGCAGGCUGACCAACGCGGUCAUCAACCGUGCUCUGAUCAUUUUUAAGUUGUUGAAGUGGCUCAGCGGAUUAAUAGGAUAUUGCCCUGGCUUUCUCAAAUGCACGCACACAGAAUUAUUUAAUGCCAUUUUCAAGGGCAAAAAGGAAGAGAUCUGAUAGCCCUGCAAGUGAACAGAGAAUAACGACAUAACAACAGAGCCCCAUCACCACCACCAAACGGAGAAGAAGAGCGCUGUGUGGGAGAACGCAAGCCUUCCCAUUGCACCGGACUUGCCCUCUCUCCAUUUAAACUCCUGGCCAGCUCCUCUCUACUUUAUGGGGCCCCUCACCUCAGAGCUGCUGAAGGGAGGUCCACUGCCCUCUAACACGAACCCAAAGGUACACAUACCUGCUCAUCUCACUGCAUUUCUAGUUUCACCCCAGUCAGGAGAACACUGCCAGGCAACUUCUUUGUGACCUUUGGAGUUUACCUCCAUUUUUCAAGAAUCUAGAUAGACCUAGUAAAGGGGGUGGGGGUGGGGGGGAAGAAGAACCAUUUGACGUAGAGUUGCACGCUGGGUAGCUGAGUCAGGUUGAGGUUUGCAACACCGUUAUUUGGUUCUAUUGACCGAAUGUCUUACCUGCUCUAUUAUCUGUUUUUUCAGAUGUGAGCUGUUUUUGAUUUUUAAUUGCUCUUAUUUACCAAAUGUCUUACUCAUUACACUAUCUGGUUUUUCAGAUGCGCCCUCUUUUUUAUUUCACUGUGAAGAGUCUAGCCUAACAAAAUUAGUAACUUGCUCAAUAAUCCAAGAAUUGCCGAGCACCCCGUACAGGUUGAGUUGAUAGAUUUCGUAGCAGUGACUGGCACUUCUUUGUCUUAAUCCUUAUGAUCAAUGCUUUUCAUAAGAACUAAAGAAUUUGCCUUCAAAAGGAAAUUUUAAAUACUGACAAUUUAUUGAUAAGAAUCAAAUAUUUUGUUGCAUCAAAUGCCUUCAAGAUUCAAAGGGACUGUUUC